CACCGUAGAGAAACGUCAUUUAGAUAUUACCAAGCAGGUACGUACGAACGUGUAUAUACUCGCACAUAACAGGGUUAAGAAACGCGUUGACUAUGUUUAGAAAGAAACCACCACAGGAGAAGUCCAUUGGAAGGUGGUGAAACGUUUGCUCUCGACGUGGCUUCGUGGCACGAAGGGAAUACGAGAUAAAUAGAGAUGACGUUCUUACUACUGUGAGGAGGUCUGUAUAUUUAACCGAUCACCACGGUAUUUUCUUCUUUUCUAAACGAAAUAGAUUGAAUUGUGGUGUUUCCAUAAUUAUCCUCGUUUCUCGUCUCUCCUCGUCUCUGAUAAACUCGAAAACAAAACAAGCACGUAUAGAGCAUGGAAUUUCGACCAAGAAUAGAACACUUCGACGAUACACCAACACGAGAUACGUAAAUGCUUCUGGUUUAACGUCAACAUGCGUCACUCUGGCUUGACAAUUAAGUCGACGUUGGGACGACAUUAUAUUCCACGUUCCAACGAACCGGGAUUAUUAACUCAUCGUGGUUGCGUAACGUAGCGAGUCUAGUGGAACGAAAAUUCCCCGGUGUGAUAUUGCGCCGAAGGUCUUUAACAUUCCAUUAAAAUGCGAUAUCAGGCAAAACACCGGAGAAAUCCGUAUCAUUCGUAGCCUAGUCAUCGUCGGUUAACGAUGUCGACCGUCUUGUCGUUGACAUUUUUCCGCCGACAGUCCUAACAUUGCGCAACCAGAGGGCGAGAAACGAUUCACGUCGACGCUGAACCGUCGUGACUCGUCCAGUUGUCUACAGUCAUCGAUCCCCAGCAGCUUAUGCACCCGGAAACCGUGCCACAAUUCCACGAGGUAAUUCGAUUCGCGGCCGAAGGAAAUCGGGACGACGACUGGAAUCGUCCUCUCUGUAAUCACGUCGGUGUAAUCGCUUUGGAUGAGCCGGGGAUUGGCAAAGCGAUGGAAAUUUUUCCUCGUUCCCGACGAAUUAAUUUCGCCCUGUUCAAAGGGUUAACGGGACCGUGGCCACGGAAAUAAUCUACAGCACCUUAGCGUUACUCCUACACAUUCUCUUGCUUCUCUGACGUAAGAAUCGAGCAACACAAUAGAAACGAGAGAAAGAGAGAGAGAGACAGACAGAAGAAGAAUCGACGCGAAGCUGUGCUGGUGAAAUGAUUAUGCCCUGAGAAAAAAGACGUCAGGAAGACGGCAACAUGUUCAAUCUUUCAAGCAGGGCGUAGAAAAUUUACAUUGUCCGUUUAUUUAUUUUUUGUCAAAAUUUAUUUACUUUCAAUAUCUGAUUUUAUUUGCAACGUUUUAUCAUAUCAUUACUAUCCUGCGAAA
Long non-coding RNA from Bombus pascuorum, 1336 nucleotides. RefSeq lists it as uncharacterized. The transcript is spliced from 3 exons. NCBI's taxonomy places the organism in Eukaryota, Metazoa, Arthropoda, Insecta, Hymenoptera, Apidae. The record is from RefSeq and is a predicted model, not a curated record.